CCUACGGGAGGCAGCAGUGAGGAAUAUUGGUCAAUGGACGAGAGUCUGAACCAGCCAAGUAGCGUGAAGGAUGACUGCCCUAUGGGUUGUAAACUUCUUUUAUAAAGGAAUAAAACGAGGCACGUGUGCCUUUUUGUAUGUACUUUAUGAAUAAGGAUCGGCUAACUCCGUGCCAGCAGCCGCGGUAAUACGGAGGAUCCGAGCGUUAUCCGGAUUUAUUGGGUUUAAAGGGAGCGUAGAUGGGUUGUUAAGUCAGUUGUGAAAGUUUGCGGCUCAACCGUAAAAUUGCAAUUGAUACUGGCAGUCUUGAGUACAGUUGAGGUAGGCGGAAUUCGUGGUGUAGCGGUGAAAUGCCUAGAUAUCACGAAGAACCCCGAUUGCGAAGGCAGCUUACUAAACUGUGACUGACAUUGAUGCUCGAAAGUGUGGGUAUCAAACAGGAUUAGAUACCCUAGUAGUC
This 460-nucleotide ribosomal RNA is filed under the name uncultured bacterium. RNAcentral describes it as "partial 16S ribosomal RNA". It matches the Rfam family "Bacterial small subunit ribosomal RNA", at positions 338 to 795 of the family's 1533-position model. The record is from RNAcentral.